UGCCAGACUCCUACGGGAGGCAGCAGUGGGGAAUAUUGCACAAUGGGGGGAACCCUGAUGCGGCGACGCCGCGUGGGUGAAGGAGCGUUUCGGCGCGUAAAGCCCUAUCGGCAGGGAAGAAGGAGGACGGUACCUGACUAAGAAGCCCCGGCUAACUACGUGCCAGCAGCCGCGGGAAUACAUAGGGAGCAAGCGUUGUCCGGAAUUACUGGGUGUAAAGGGAGCGUAGGCGGGGAUGCAAGUUGGGUGUCAAAACUACCGGCUCAACCGAUAGUCGCACUCAAAACUGCAACUCUUGAGUGAAGUAGAGGCAGGCGGAAUUCCUAGUGUAGCGGUGAAAUGCGUAGAUAUUAGGAGGAACACCAGUGGCGAAGGCGGCCUGCUGGGCUUUUACUGACGCUGAGGCUCGAAAGUGUGGGGAGCAAACAGGAUUAGAUACCCCAGUA
This 446-nucleotide ribosomal RNA is filed under the name uncultured bacterium. RNAcentral describes it as "bacterial SSU rRNA". It matches the Rfam family "Bacterial small subunit ribosomal RNA", at positions 329 to 792 of the family's 1533-position model. The record is from RNAcentral.